AUAAAAUUAGAAAUAUGAUGCUUAAUACAAGUCCUGACUCCUUUUAUAAGAGUAAUAGGAACAUCAAGAUCAUCAAUAGUAGAAUUCGACUCAAAAAUAGAAUUAGGAUCAUCAAGAAAUAAAGGAGACUCACCACAUUCUUCAGGAAUUGAUUCCAAGGAUGCUAGUUGAUCUGGUGUAUUAAGCUCAAUGGUUGUAUCUGUCUUAUUCCAACACAUGUAGGUUCUCAAAUUCCGACACGUGUAGGUUCUCAAAUUAAGGUGUAGAUAGAUUCAUAAUAAACAUAAAAAAUCGAGUAACCUCUAAUAAAUGUCUUUUUUUUUUUUCUUUCAGACAUCCAAUUUUGUUCACUAGCCUUGACACAACUAGUUUGAUACAUUAUACAUUUAAAUCCAAAGAAGCACAAAAAACACCAUUAACAUAUUUUGUGCCAUUACUGUGUGCAAAUCAUUUUGUAGACUGUUGGAAGUAAGAAAACACUUCACUUUUUGCUCUCAUCAAAUAAACCCAUGUCAGCCUAGUGCAACAAUCAAUAAAAGUGACA
Molecule: unclassified non-coding RNA, 544 nt
Filed under: Hevea brasiliensis (rubber tree)
Lineage: Eukaryota; Viridiplantae; Streptophyta; Magnoliopsida; Malpighiales; Euphorbiaceae
Source: RNAcentral